UGGGGAAUAUUGCGCAAUGGGCGAAAGCCUGACGCAGCGACGCCGCGUGGGGGAUGACGGCCUUCGGGUUGUAAACCUCUUUCAGUAGGGACGAAGCGGAAGUGACGGUACCUACAGAAGAAGCACCGGCCAACUACGUGCCAGCAGCCGCGGUAAUACGUAGGGUGCAAGCGUUGUCCGGAAUUAUUGGGCGUAAAGAGCUCGUAGGCGGUCUGUCGCGUCGGCUGUGAAAACCCGGAGCUCAACUCCGGGCCUGCAGUCGAUACGGGCAAACUGGAGUGUUGCAGGGGAGACUGGAAUUCCUGGUGUAGCGGUGAAAUGCGCAGAUAUCAGGAGGAACACCGGUGGCGAAGGCGGGUCUCUGGGCAACAACUGACGCUGAGGAGCGAAAGCGUGGGGAGCGAACA
This 407-nucleotide ribosomal RNA is filed under the name uncultured Geodermatophilus sp. Its description in RNAcentral is "bacterial SSU rRNA". It matches the Rfam family "Bacterial small subunit ribosomal RNA", at positions 355 to 774 of the family's 1533-position model. The record is from RNAcentral. Lineage: Bacteria; Bacillati; Actinomycetota; Actinomycetes; Geodermatophilales; Geodermatophilaceae.